This 250-nucleotide ribosomal RNA is filed under the name uncultured bacterium. RNAcentral describes it as "partial 16S ribosomal RNA". It matches the Rfam family "Bacterial small subunit ribosomal RNA", at positions 524 to 773 of the family's 1533-position model. The record is from RNAcentral.
UACGGAGGAUCCGAGCGUUAUCCGGAUUUAUUGGGUUUAAAGGGUGCGUAGGCGGGCUUAUAAGUCAGCGGUGAAAGUUUGCGGCUCAACCGUAAAAUUGCCGUUGAUACUGUGAGUCUUGAGUGUAGAUGAGGUGGGUGGAAUUCGUGGUGUAGCGGUGAAAUGCAUAGAUAUCACGAAGAACUCCAAUUGCGUAGGCAGCUCACUGGGCUACAACUGACGCUGAGGCACGAAGGUGCGGGGAUCAAAC